CUGUACUUGGUGUUACUGCGAAGGGGGGACGGAGAAGGCUAUGUUGGCCGGGCGACGGUUGUCCCGGUUUAAGCGUGUAGGCUGGUUUUCCAGGCAAAUCCGGAAAAUCAAGGCUGAGGCGUGAUGACGAGGCACUACGGUGCUGAAGCAACAAAUGCCCUGCUUCCAGGAAAAGCCUCUAAGCAUCAGGUAACAUCAAAUCGUACCCCAAACCGACACAGGUGGUCAGGUAGAGAAUACCAAGGCGCUUGAGAGAACUCGGGUGAAGGAACUAGGCAAAAUGGUGCCGUAACUUCGGGAGAAGGCACGCUGAUAUGUAGGUGAAGCGACUUGCUCGUGGAGCUGAAAUCAGUCGAAGAUACCAGCUGGCUGCAACUGUUUAUUAAAAACACAGCACUGUGCAAACACGAAAGUGGACGUAUACGGUGUGACGCCUGCCCGGUGC
RNAcentral lists this ribosomal RNA (445 nucleotides) under Escherichia coli. RNAcentral describes it as "partial 23S ribosomal RNA". It matches the Rfam family "Bacterial large subunit ribosomal RNA", at positions 1439 to 1869 of the family's 2925-position model. Lineage: Bacteria; Pseudomonadati; Pseudomonadota; Gammaproteobacteria; Enterobacterales; Enterobacteriaceae. The record is from RNAcentral.